This 352-nucleotide unclassified non-coding RNA is filed under the name soil metagenome. Its description in RNAcentral is "partial contains 5.8S ribosomal RNA, internal transcribed spacer 2, and large subunit ribosomal RNA". The stretch from base 1 to 120 matches the Rfam family "5.8S ribosomal RNA", at positions 35 to 154 of the family's 154-position model. The record is from RNAcentral.
GUUGAAGAACGUAGCGAAAUGCGAUAAGUAAUGUGAAUUGCAGAAUUCAGUGAAUCAUCGAAUCUUUGAACGCACAUUGCGCCCGCCAGUAUUCUGGCGGGCAUGCCUGUUCGAGCGUCAUUACAACCCUCAGGCCCCCGGGCCUGGCGUUGGGGAUCGGCGGAAGCCCCCUGUGGGCACACGCCGUCCCUCAAAUACAGUGGCGGUCCCGCCGCAGCUUCCAUUGCGUAGUAGCUAACACCUCGCAACUGGAGAGCGGCGCGGCCAUGCCGUAAAACACCCAACUUCUGAAUGUUGACCUCGAAUCAGGUAGGAAUACCCGCUGAACUUAAGCAUAUCAAUAAGCGGAGGA